Long non-coding RNA from Mytilus californianus (California mussel), 6734 nucleotides. RefSeq lists it as uncharacterized. The record is from RefSeq and is a predicted model, not a curated record. NCBI's taxonomy places the organism in Eukaryota, Metazoa, Mollusca, Bivalvia, Mytilida, Mytilidae. The transcript has 2 exons.
ACACAUACCAGAAUAUAAACCUGGAAUGUGUUUCAAAAUACAAGUACCUGGGUUUAUAUUUAAGCUCAUCUGGCUCAUUUAGUUAUGCUCAAAGUGAACUGUACAAGUAUCCUUAAAAGAUUAUUAUCAAUUGCGGAAAGAUUUUUUAUCUCUAAAUCCUAUCAUCAAAACAAGUAUUCAUGCUUUUGAUCACACUGUGAAACCUAUUUUAUUAUAUGGUAGUGAAGUAUGGGGAAUGUUUAAUUCUCUUUCCUCUAAAUGUAAGAAGGAAGAUGUAUCUCUUGAAAAAUUAUAUUCAGGUUUACCCGGUGAGAAACUUCACAUUAAAUUUAACAAAUUUAUACUUGGUGUGCACAAAAAAACAACAAAUGUUGCGUUAGAUUUCCAAUUUAUUUUAAUAUAAUUAAAGCGAUGCUAUUGUAUUGGUAUCGAUUAGAGAAUUUAGGAAGUAAUUUUCCUCUAUUAAAAGAGGCAUAUGAACAAUUUAAAACACUUCACCAACUGAAUAAAACAUCAUGGUAUGGUUCAAUAAAUGUUAUAUUGAAGUUACUUGGAAUUGAUUGUACAAAUGCAGUGUGUGAAACCUUUUGUUUUUCUUACUCGCCAAAUUGACGAGCAGCUUUUCAUUUCAACUCACCAAAUUGAAAUUCCACUUGCCAGCUUGGAGAGUGACUUACUUUUGGGACUCACCGUCUUUUUCAUACAUAAUUAUUAAAAGAUAUUAUUCCAAGUCCACUUACUAAAUGUAUGUACUUAUGUACAUUAGUUUUAUCCAUAACUGGUAACUUGACAAUUUAAAUUACUAUUAACAUAUAGUAGUCUCAGUUAUAUAAGGGAGCAGUCAACUUAUCUUUUGAUUAACUUGGGAGAGGGGUAUCAAAUAGAUUUUUACCACAGCUGACAAGUCAAAAGUUAUUUUUAUGUCAUAACCAGAUCUAGACUUCCUUACCUCAAUGAUUAUGGAUAAAUCUUAGUACAAAUGCUGGAUUUUGAGCAGCCUCUUCUACUAUAAUUGUCACUUUUUAUACGACCGCAAAAAAUUUUUGUGGUCGUAUAUUGGUAUGACGUUGGCGUCGUCGUCGUCCGGCGUCGUCGUCCGAAUACAUAUUGGUUUUCGCACUCUAACUUUAGUUUAAGUGAAUGGAUCUUUUUGAAAUUUGACCAUAAGGUUAAAUACCACAAAAGGAAGGUUGGGAUUGAUUUUGGGGGUUAUGGUACCAACAGUUAAGGAAUUAGGGGCCAAAAAGGGGCCAAAAAUGAGCAUUUUCUAGUUUCCAGACAAUAACUGUGGAACGGUGUAUGGAUCUCUCUGAAAUUAUACUACAAGUUUCCAUACCACAAAGGGAUGGUUAGGAUUUGCUUUGGGGGGUUAUGGCUCAAACCGUUUAGGAAUUAGGGGCAAAAAAGGGGGAAAAACAAGGUUGUCCUGGUUAAUGGACAAAUACUUUAGUACAAAACAUAAUUUAAAGCAGUGUAAGGGAGAUAAAUCAAAUACAUCAUUGAAAUUAUCUCCCUUACACUGCUUUUAAAUUAUGUAUAAAGUAAUGGUUAAUGAACAAUAAAGAUAAUCUAAAACAGUGUAAGGGAGGUAAUCCAAAUACAACGUUUUGGUUACUUCCCUUACACUGCUUUUCAAUUAUGUUUAAAGAAAUGCAUAUUUAUAAAGGAAGACCAGUAAAAAAUCUGCAAAUGUUUUCAUCUUUUUUUUUAACAAAAAAAUCCACAUGAAAGAUUUGACACUAUAUUUUUAUUAAUUCUAUUAUAAAAUAGAUUAAGUUAGCACUAUGGUAAAUUUAAAUGGGUAAUUAUGGUUGCCAACUCCAUUGGAAAUUUGAAUUGAGAUUAUGACCAUAUCUUGAGGGAAAGAAUUUUUUUGGGGGAAAAAGGGGGGGGGGAUAAAAAGAAAUUGUGGGGGGGCAAUUUUUUCUCAUUUCAGAUUUCAGAAAUUAAAAAGAAUUAUUCUUCAAAUAUUUUUUUUUUUUCAAAUUUCAAAUAUUGAAAAAUUUCAAGAAGUAAUCUUUAAUUGCACAGUAUGGCGCAUUAGAUUUGUAAAAUCUUUGAUCACAUUUAUUUAUUUGUUAUGCCGAAUCUAACAGUGUAUUAAGAUUUUUAAUUUUGGGUCCAGUUUUCAAAUUGGUCUACAUUAAUGUCCAAAGGGUCCAAAAUUAAACUUUGUUUGAUUUUAGCAAAAAUUGAAUAUAUGAGGUUCUUUGAUAUGCUGAAUCUUAACAUGUAUUUAGAUUUUUGAUUUUUGGCCCAGUUUUCAAGUUGGUCCAAAUUGGGGUCCAAAAUUAAACUUUGUUUGAUUUCAACAAAAAUUGAAUAUGUGGGGUUCUUUGAUAUGCUGAAUCUAACCAUAUAUUUAGAUUUUUUAUUUGUGGACCCCGUUAUCUAAUUGGUUCAUAUUGAGGUCAAAAGGGUCCAAAAUUAAACUUUGUUUGAUUUCAUCGGAAAUUGAAUUAUUGGGGUUCUUUGAUAUUCCAAAUCUAACCGUGUAUUUAGGUUUUUUAUUUUGGGUCCUGUUUUUUAAAUUGGUCUACAUUGAGGUCCAAAGGGUCCAAAAUUAAACUUAGUUUGAUUUUAACAAAAAUUGAAUUCUUGGGGUUCUUUGAUUUGCUGAAUCUAAACAUGUGUUUAGAUUUUUGAUUAUGGGCCCAGUUUUCAAGUUGGUCCAAGAUAGGGUCCAGUAUUUAAACUUUGUUUGAUUUCAACAAAAAUUGAAUAUAUGGGGUUCUUUGAUAUGCUGAAUCUAAACAUGUAUUUAGAUUUUUGAUUAUGGGCCCAGUUUUCAAGUUGGUCCAAAUUGGGGUCCAAAAUUAAACUUUGUUUGAUUUCAACAAAAAUUGAAUAUAUGAGGUUCUUUGAUAUGCUGAAUCUAACCAUGUAUUUAGAUUUUUUAUUUGUAGGCCCCGCUAUCAAAUUGGUUCAUAUUGAGGUCAAAAGGGUCCAAAAUUAAACUUUGUUUGAUUUCAUCGGAAAUUGAAUUAUUGGGGUUCUUUGAUAUGCCAAAUCUAACCGUGUUUUUAGAUUUUUAAUUUGGGUCCCGUUUUUUAAAUUGGUCUUCAUUGAGGUCCAAAGGGUCCAAAAUUAAACUUAGUUUGAUUUUAGCAAAAAUUGAAUUCUUGGGGUUCUUUGAUAUGCUGAAUCUAAACAUGUGUUUAGAUUUUUGAUUAUGGGCCCAGUUUUCAAGUUUGUCCAAGUUGGGGUCCAAAAUUAAACUUUGUUUGAUUUUAACAAAAAUUGAAUAUAUGGGGUUCUUUGAUAUGCUGAAUCUAACCAUGUAUUUUGAUUUUGGACAUUGGACCAUAAUAGAUAAAUUAAAAAAAUUCAAGUUCUUAGACCACAUUCUUUCUGUGUCAGAAACCUAUGCUGUGUCAAAUAUUUAAUAACAAUCCAAAUUCAGAGCUGUAUCAAGCUUGAAUGUUGUGUCCAUACUUGCCCCAACUGUUCAGGGUUCGACCUCUGCGGUCGUAUCAAGCUGCGCCCCAGCGAAGCAUUUUAUUUAUUUUAUAAAAACAUGAAUAUUACACUGUGUGGAAAAGUUCUGCACCAAAGGCUUUUUUAUAUUCAGUUUCUGGUUUUGCUUUUUUAUUUAGUUUCUUUUGUUUUUUUAAAUUAUUUAGCCUUAAAAACUUUUCCAUAUUGAAAUUACUAUUUCAUAAUUUGCCUCCAGAUUGAACUUGUUUAACAUUCAGAGAAGUAUAAAAAAUGGCUUUCAAAUCUGGUCAACGAAUACAAUGUCCAUCCUGUAUUUUGCUUAGGCAACAACCAUUUUCUUAUCUGCGGGGGGGGGGGGGGGCUGGGAUUUUUUUGAAAAAAAUAUUUUGAUGGCCUAGCUGACCGAAAAAAAAUUUAGAUUUUGCACUGUAGCUGAAAAUUUUUUUAUGGUUUUGUGAAAAACAUGAUAGGGAAAAAAAAUUUUGCUUUCCUUCUCAUAAGAAAAAAAAAAAAUUUAUCGGAGGAAGGUUCUGAAAAAAAAAUUAUGAACACAAUGAAAAUCCCAGGCCCCCCCCAGAUAAGAAAAUGGUUGUUGCCUUAAAAUAAACAUACAUGGACCAUAGGAAAGUAAUAAAAUUAUAAAAUGUUUUAUUUGUAACCCACUGAUAGUCCCCACUGUAUGCAAAUUACAUUUAUUUUAGUCAUUUCAAGAAAUUAAAAUCAGUGAGGUGGGGAUCGUAUAAUAGGUUUUAGCACGCUGAUUCAAUGAAGUGUCAAGGUUGUCAUAAUAAUGUUUUAGUUUGCCAUCACUUCCUGGGUAUAUGCACAAGGAUAUGUCUUUUUUACCCUCUUUGCCAUGGUAUUUGCCUUUUUACCCUUCACACAAUGCCUGAUCAUUUGUGUGUUUUAUUAAAUACAGUUAGUGAAAGAAUUAUGGUAUAAAAUCAAAUAUUUAACUUAAUCAUCCAUAUUGAUAUGCAGUGUAAUUAAACAAAUAAUGCCCCAAGGGUGACUGCAUGGGGAAUAGAAAUAUGGUCACUACAGGUCUUCUUCCGACCGGCAGUAAAACCCUUACCAAAGUGGGGCGGCCAUUUGGCUGUGCGGGAUGUAUCAAGUAUGCAGCCACGUCCGGUCAGAAGGGGACGUUAAAUCUGAUGCCUCGUGGAGAGAGUGCCACGCUCUCUGCACGUUAAGAACCCUUUUAACAACUCUUUGAGGGGUCCGUAGGUGGCCUGCUGCAAGGCAAAAUUUCUGUCCCUAUCCAAUAUACCCUCAUUUUCCAGUGGCAGCAGGGGUGUGGAAAUGCUAUGCCCGACUCGCCCGAUUCGUCCAUUUGAACAACCGGACAAGUAAUUUUUGUCGAGCCUAGCUCGACAUAGGGAUACUGAUCCGGCGGCGGCGGCGACGUUAGCUAACUUCUUAAAUGCUUUAUAUUUUAGAAGCUAGAAGACCUGGAUGCUUCAUACUUUGUAUAUAGGUGCCUUAUGUUACGAAGUUACUGUCUGUCAUACGUCAAUUGUCCUUGACCUCAUUUUCAUGGUUCAGUGACUACUUGAAAAAAAAGUCAACAUUUUUUGUAAUGUUUAUUUCUUUCUUAUUAUGAGUAAUAGGAUAACUAUAUUUAGUAUGUGCGUACCUUGCAAGGUCCUCAUGCCCGUCAGACAAUUUCCAUUUGACCUCGACCUCAUUUCAUGGAUCAGUGAACAAGGUUAAGUUUUCGUGGUCAAGUCAGAUACUAUAAGCAGUAGGUCUACUAUAUUUGGUAUAUGGAAUAAUUGUAAGGUGUACAUGUCCAACUAGUAGGUGUCAUCUGACCUUGACCUCAUUUUCAUGGUUCAGUGGUCAAAGUUAAGUUUUUGAGUUUUGGUCUUUUUUUCUAAUACUAUAUGCAAUAGGUCAACUAUAUUUGGUGUAUGGAAAUAUUUUAUGAUGUACAUGUCAGUCUCGCAGGUUUUAUUUGACCUUGACCUCAUUUUCACGGUUCAUUUCUCAGUGUUAAGUUUUUGUGUUUUGGUCUGUUUUUCUUCAACUAUAAGCAAUAUAUCAACUAUAUUUGUUGUAUGGAAGGAUUGUAAGGAUUAUAUGUCUGUCUGGCAGGUAUCAUCUGACCUUGACCUCAUUUUCAUGGUUCAUUGGUCAAUGUUAAGUUUUCAUGGUUAAGUUUGUUUCUUAGAUACUAUAAGCAAUAGGUCCACUAUAUUUAAUGCAUAAAUUGAUUGUUAGGUGUACAUGUCUGCCUGGCAUGGUUCAUCUGACCUUGACCUCAUUUUCAUGGUUCAUUGGUCAAUGUUAAGUUUUCUUGGUUAAGACUGUUUCUUAGAAACUAUAAGCAAUAGGUCAACUAUGUUUGGUUUAUUGAAUGAUUGUAAGGUGUACAUGUAUUUCUCGUUUGGUUUAUCUGACCUUGACCUCAUUUUUUUGGAUCAUGUUAAGUUUAUGUGUUACUUGUACUAAAGCUUUAUAUUUAGGACUAUCAACAUAAAAUCAAUGGUUAGUAAAGAAGGCGAGACAUUUCAGUGUGUGCACUCUUGUUUUUGUCUGGGUUGCCCGUGGACAAGUAAAAAAUUACAGUUGACAAAAUUCAUUUAAUCAAAAAUAUAGAAUUAUUUUCAUAAUUUAUUAAGAUGUAUUAUUUUAUGUAAAAGAAACCAAUGAUCAACAAGUGAAAAACAUAUAUUUAAAUCAAAACAUCAAUGUUCAUGAUGACAAGUAUUAAAAAAAAACGGAAAUAGAUCAAUAACCAAAAUUAAUAAAAAUAAGGCCACAUUUAAAAAUAUUUUGGUUUGCCCAAACCCUACCCAAAGGUAGAGACAGUGGGUAGGUAGGUAGGCAUUUUCUUUUUUUUUUUCUGCAAAGAGAAAUUGAAGUGUCAGAUGUUUGUUAGUCUUCAUGCCUAUCUGAUUAAAAAAAACUUUUUCACAUCAGGACAAUAAAAGAUUUUGAGUAGGCAGCUAUUUUCUGGGUAGGUAGGGUUAGGGCAAACAAACAUAUUCUUUUUUAUGGCCUAAGUAUGCGAACCCGGGUCUCAUAAACAUUGCGAUAUCUUUGUCCAUUGACCCGGGAUCGUCGAUUAGGUUUUAUUUGCCAUCUCACAGAAGUGUUAUUUUAAUUUUUCAUGAUUGCAUGGGUCUUAUCGAGAUGGAUAAAUACCUGAUAAAAACACCAAGACCUGGUGAUCAAGACAAAAAGAAUGAAAAUAAUAAUGAUGAGUCGAGUAAAAAACGGAAAACACAGGUGGAGAAAGACAAGGAAUAUGAAAAAAAUAAAAAAAAAAACAGAAGCGAGAAUUCCAGACC